Molecule: ribosomal RNA, 166 nt
Filed under: Piper cinereum
Lineage: Eukaryota; Viridiplantae; Streptophyta; Magnoliopsida; Piperales; Piperaceae
Description: 5.8S ribosomal RNA
Rfam family: 5.8S ribosomal RNA
About the family: 5.8S ribosomal RNA (5.8S rRNA) is a component of the large subunit of the eukaryotic ribosome. It is transcribed by RNA polymerase I as part of the 45S precursor that also contains 18S and 28S rRNA. Functionally, it is thought that 5.8S rRNA may be involved in ribosome translocation.
Source: RNAcentral
AUACGACUCUCGGCAACGGAUAUCUCGGCUCUCGCAUCGAUGAAGAACGUAGCGAAAUGCGAUACUUGGUGUGAAUUGCAGAAUCCCGUGAACCAUCGAGUCUUUGAACGCAAGUUGCGCCCAAGGCCUUUCGGCUGAGGGCACAUCUGCUUGGGCGUUAAACAAC